Molecule: long non-coding RNA, 444 nt
Filed under: Citrus sinensis (sweet orange)
Lineage: Eukaryota; Viridiplantae; Streptophyta; Magnoliopsida; Sapindales; Rutaceae
Description: long non-coding RNA (CSIN_LNC005495)
Source: RNAcentral
GAAGGGGUAAACAGAGACUUAAGUCAAAAAUGUCGAUAUGAAGGGCAACACCAUCAGAAUGAGGGUGGUCGGGGCGCUCGCCCUUGCGAGGUACCCUAAGGUGGACAGAUUGAGGUAUGUUGUACUUGGCUCUAACCCUUUCUAAAUCUCUCGGAGUAGCCAGCCUACCCCUUAGUGCAUAGAGCUUAGGAGCUACAGAGACAGAGGGAGAGAUCAGGGGAGGUUCUGGAAUGCUGACAGGAACAGGAGAUUUGGGUCUGGAUGUCUUUGCACGAGUUUUUCUAUGGGCUGGCUUAGUUGGGUGUUUGUCUUUAAUCUUUGAUUUUUUACUGGUUUUGGUUCGAGAUAACUUGGGACUAGGCGAAGGGGACCCAUCGUCGUCACUAAGGGAUAUAUAAGGGGCUGAAUCAGAAAGGGGAGCCUCCUCACUCGUCUCCCCCUGCU